RNAcentral lists this transfer RNA (74 nucleotides) under Candidatus Roizmanbacteria bacterium. RNAcentral describes it as "tRNA-Glu". It matches the Rfam family "tRNA". Rfam says of the family: Transfer RNA (tRNA) molecules are approximately 80 nucleotides in length. Their secondary structure includes four short double-helical elements and three loops (D, anti-codon, and T loops). Lineage: Bacteria; Candidatus Roizmaniibacteriota. The record is from RNAcentral.
GGCCCCAUCGUCUAGCGGCCUAGGACACCAGGUUUUCAUCCUGGGAAUCAGGGGUUCGAAUCCCCUUGGGGUCA